RNAcentral lists this ribosomal RNA (251 nucleotides) under uncultured prokaryote. RNAcentral describes it as "partial 16S rRNA". It matches the Rfam family "Bacterial small subunit ribosomal RNA", at positions 525 to 775 of the family's 1533-position model. The record is from RNAcentral.
ACGGAGGAUGCGAGCGUUAUCCGGAUUUAUUGGGUUUAAAGGGUGCGUAGGCGGAUAGAUAAGUCAGUGGUGAAAUUCUGCAGCUUAACUGUAGACUUGCCGUUGAUACUGUCAGUCUUGAGUAUGGUAAAGGCAGGCGGAAUGUGUAAUAUGGCAGUUGAAUGUUGGGAUAUUACACAGAACGCCUAUGGCGAAGGCAGCUUGCUAAUCUAUUUCUGACUCUGAUGCGCGGAAGCUUGGGGAGCGAACAG